RNAcentral lists this ribosomal RNA (253 nucleotides) under uncultured bacterium. RNAcentral's name for it is "partial 16S ribosomal RNA". It matches the Rfam family "Bacterial small subunit ribosomal RNA", at positions 524 to 776 of the family's 1533-position model. The record is from RNAcentral.
UACGGAGGGGGCUAGCGUUGUUCGGAAUUACUGGGCGUAAAGCGCACGUAGGCGGCUUUGUACGUUAGAGGUGAAAGCCCGGAGCUUAACUCCGGAACUGCCUUUAAGACUGCAUCGCUCGAAUCAUGGAGAGGUCAGUGGAAUUCCGAGUGUAGAGGUGAAAUUCGUAGAUAUUCGGAAGAACACCAGUGGCGAAGGCGACUGACUGGACAUGUAUUGACGCUGAGGUGCGAAAGCGUGGGUAGCAAACAGG